CAGCAGUAGCCGCGGUAAUACAGAGGGUGCGAGCGUUAAUCGGAUUUACUGGGCGUAAAGCGUGCGUAGGCGGCUUUUUAAGUCGGAUGUGAAAUCCCUGAGCUUAACUUAGGAAUUGCAUUCGAUACUGGGAAGCUAGAGUAUGGGAGAGGAUGGUAGAAUUCCAGGUGUAGCGGUGAAAUGCGUAGAGAUCUGGAGGAAUACCGAUGGCGAAGGCAGCCAUCUGGCCUAAUACUGACGCUGAGGUACGAAAGCAUGGGGAGCAAACAGGAUUAGAUACCCCCGUAGUCCCUGUCUCUUAUAA
This 304-nucleotide ribosomal RNA is filed under the name uncultured bacterium. RNAcentral describes it as "partial 16S ribosomal RNA". It matches the Rfam family "Bacterial small subunit ribosomal RNA", at positions 506 to 809 of the family's 1533-position model. The record is from RNAcentral.